AUCUGGGCGGCGGAAUUCAGGAUGGCUGGCGUGUCUUCGUGGCACGUCGGUCGUUUGAUAUUUCCGUCGCCGAUUACCCGCAGACGUCGCGACCUGUUCGCGGUCGGCCCCUGCUCGGAGGAGCCGCGUUCGAGCUCGUUGUGUGCGCGUUUCGGCGUGCAACACGGCGAAGACGCGGAUCUCUGGCUGGCCGUCGGACAGUAUGCUUAACGGUGUCCGGUGUCGUCGUCUCGUACGCGCGCGCACCGGUACCGGUCAGCGACGAAUUCUUCGGGCCUCUUUCCGACCCGUCUUGAAACACGGACCAAGGAGUCUAACAUGCGCGCGAGUCGCGGGGUGUCGAGCGUACUUCGGUACGUUCGUUACGUUGCGAAACCCGUAUAUGUCGAAGGCGUAAUGAAAGUGAAUGGGGAAGAUGGUGUUCCGAGUUCACGUUCCGCGAUCGUCGGUAUCGCGGCCGGACACCCGCAUUCCCGGGGCGUCUCAACGGCCCGUCGCUGAUGCGGACAGUCGUCUCUCGGGGCGGCUGUCGGUCGGCGACGAACCGA
RNAcentral lists this ribosomal RNA (548 nucleotides) under Lindingaspis rossi. RNAcentral's name for it is "LSU rRNA". Lineage: Eukaryota; Metazoa; Arthropoda; Insecta; Hemiptera; Diaspididae. The record is from RNAcentral.